GACGAACGCUGGCGGCGUGCUUAACACAUGCAAGUCGAACGGAAAGGCCCUGCUUUUGUGGGGUGCUCGAGUGGCGAACGGGUGAGUAACACGUGAGUAACCUGCCCUUGACUUUGGGAUAACUUCAGGAAACUGGGGCUAAUACCGGAUAGGAGCUCCUGCUGCAUGGUGGGGGUUGGAAAGUUUCGGCGGUUGGGGAUGGACUCGCGGCUUAUCAGCUUGUUGGUGGGGUAGUGGCUUACCAAGGCUUUGACGGGUAGCCGGCCUGAGAGGGUGACCGGCGACAAUGGGACUGAGGUACGGCGCAGACGCCAACGGGAGGCAGCAGUGGGGAAUAUGGCGCAAUGGGGGGAAGCCAGAUGCAGCAAUGCCGCGUGCGUGAUGACGGCUUUCGGGUUGUAAACCGCUUUGGCCGGUGACGAAGCGUGAGUGACGGUAAUGGGUAAAGAAGCACCGGCUAACUACGUG
RNAcentral lists this ribosomal RNA (468 nucleotides) under uncultured bacterium. Its description in RNAcentral is "partial 16S ribosomal RNA". It matches the Rfam family "Bacterial small subunit ribosomal RNA", at positions 28 to 507 of the family's 1533-position model. The record is from RNAcentral.